RNAcentral lists this ribosomal RNA (497 nucleotides) under uncultured bacterium. RNAcentral's name for it is "partial 16S ribosomal RNA". It matches the Rfam family "Bacterial small subunit ribosomal RNA", at positions 28 to 507 of the family's 1533-position model. The record is from RNAcentral.
GAUGAACGCUGGCGGCGUGCCUAAUACAUGCAAGUCGAGCGAACAGACGAGGAGCUUGCUCCUCUGACGUUAGCGGCGGACGGGUGAGUAACACGUGGAUAACCUACCUAUAAGACUGGGAUAACUUCGGGAAACCGGAGCUAAUACCGGAUAAUAUAUUGAACCGCAUGGUUCAAUAGUGAAAGACGGUUUUGCUGUCACUUAUAGAUGGAUCCGCGCCGCAUUAGCUAGUUGGUAAGGUAACGGCUUACCAAGGCAACGAUGCGUAGCCGACCUGAGAGGGUGAUCGGCCACACUGGAACUGAGACACGGUCCAGACUCCUACGGGAGGCAGCAGUAGGGAAUCUUCCGCAAUGGGCGAAAGCUUGACGGAGCAACGCCGCGUGAGUGAUGAAGGUCUUCGGAUCGUUAAACUCUGUUAUUAGGGAAGAACAAAUGUGUAAGUAACUAUGCACGUCUUGACGGUACCUAAUCAGAAAGCCACGGCUAACUACGUG